This 501-nucleotide ribosomal RNA is filed under the name uncultured bacterium. RNAcentral's name for it is "partial 16S ribosomal RNA". It matches the Rfam family "Bacterial small subunit ribosomal RNA", at positions 30 to 523 of the family's 1533-position model. The record is from RNAcentral.
AUUGAACGCUGGCGGCAGGCUUAACACAUGCAAGUCGAGCGGGGAAGGGUAGCUUGCUACCUAACCUAGCGGCGGACGGGUGAGUAAUGCUUAGGAAUCUGCCAUUUAGUGGGGGACAACAUUCCGAAAGGAAUGCUAAUACCGCAUACGUCCUACGGGAGAAAGCAGGGGAUCUUCGGACCUUGCGCUAAAUGAUGAGCCUAAGUCGGAUUAGCUAGUUGGUGGGGUAAAGGCCUACCAAGGCGACGAUCUGUAGCGGGUCUGAGAGGAGGAGCCGCCACACUGGGACUGAGACACGGCCCAGACUCCUACGGGAGGCAGCAUUGGGGAAUAUUGGACAAUGGGCUGAAGCCUGAUCCAGCCAUGCCGCGUGUGUGAAGAAGGCCUUAUGGUUGUAAAGCACUUUAAGCGAGGAGGAGGCUACUUAGAUUAAUACUCUAGGAUAGUGGACGUUACUCGCAGAAUAAGCACCGGCUAACUCUGUGCCAGCCGCCGCCGUAA